Molecule: ribosomal RNA, 372 nt
Filed under: uncultured organism
Description: bacterial SSU rRNA
Rfam family: Bacterial small subunit ribosomal RNA
Source: RNAcentral
CAGAGGGUGCAAACGUUGUUCGGAAUUACUGGGCGUAAAGCGCGUGUAGGCGGCAAGCCAAGUCGGGUGUGAAAGCCCUGGGCUCAACCCAGGAAGUGCAUUCGAUACUGGCAAGCUAGAGUCCCGGAGAGGAUGGUGGAACUCUCGGUGUAGAGGUGAAAUUCGUAGAUAUCGAGAAGAACACCGGUGGCGAAGGCGGCCAUCUGGACGGUGACUGACGCUGAGACGCGAAAGCGUGGGGAGCAAACAGGAUUAGAUACCCUGGUAGUCCACGCCGUAAACGAUGGGUGCUAGGUGUCACGGGUAUUGACCCCUGUGGUGCCGAAGCUAACGCAUUAAGCACCCCGCCUGGGAAGUACGGCCGCAAGGCUA